This 23-nucleotide non-coding RNA is filed under the name Arabidopsis thaliana (thale cress). Lineage: Eukaryota; Viridiplantae; Streptophyta; Magnoliopsida; Brassicales; Brassicaceae. The record is from RNAcentral.
AGGACUUCCUUGAUUGUUUGCCU